GGCAAAGCUAAGGACACGGAGAAUGUUUGCCAAGUAAUCUAAAAGAGGAACUGGGAUUGUGAUCCAACUGCGAUGAGAAGGAAAACUUCACCAAAAUACCCAAUGAGUACAGUGAUGGUGGUAGACCACCUCAAGGAAGAAAGAAAGGUUGGAGUUCUUUCCCAGGUAAUUCUGGCGAGAGGAGCCCUCAUUAUGAACGCGAUGGGUGUGAGCCUCAGCCUUCAAACCUC
Long non-coding RNA from Lagenorhynchus albirostris (white-beaked dolphin), 230 nucleotides. RefSeq lists it as uncharacterized. The transcript has 3 exons. NCBI's taxonomy places the organism in Eukaryota, Metazoa, Chordata, Mammalia, Artiodactyla, Delphinidae. The record is from RefSeq and is a predicted model, not a curated record.